This 534-nucleotide ribosomal RNA is filed under the name Pseudophilautus wynaadensis. RNAcentral describes it as "partial 16S ribosomal RNA". It matches the Rfam family "Bacterial large subunit ribosomal RNA", at positions 1861 to 2616 of the family's 2925-position model. Lineage: Eukaryota; Metazoa; Chordata; Amphibia; Anura; Rhacophoridae. The record is from RNAcentral.
GCCCAGUGAUAAAUUUAACGGCCGCGGUACCCUAACCGUGCAAAGGUAGCAUAAUCACUUGUUCUUUAAAUAAGGACUUGUAUCAACGGCAUCACGAGGGUUCUACUGUCUCCUCUCUCCAAUCAGUGAAACUGAUCUCCCCAUGAAAAAGUGGGGAUAAACUUAUAAGACGAGAAGACCCCAUGGAGCUUUAAAACCUAUAGCAACCUAGCAAACACUUCCAUCUAGCUAUAAAAUAAUGCUCAAGGACUUUAGGUUGGGAGGACCACGGAGCACAAAAUAACCUCCGUAAUGAAAAGAAUAAGAUCUUUACCAAAGAGCCACAACUCUAAGAAUUAGAAAACUAACGUACAUGACCCGAUAUCGAUCAAUGAACUAAGUUACCCUGGGGAUAACAGCGCAAUCCACUCUGAGAGUUCAUAUCGACGAGCGGGCUUACGACCUCGAUGUUGGAUCAGGGUAUCCUGGUGGUGCAGCCGCUACCGAAGGUUCGUUUGUUCAACGAUUAAAACCCUACGUGAUCUGAGUUCAGAC